CAUGGGCAGGUUGAAGGUUGGGUAACACUAACUGGAGGACCGAACCGACUAAUGUUGAAAAAUUAGCGGAUGACUUGUGGCUGGGGGUGAAAGGCCAAUCAAACCGGGAGAUAGCUGGUUCUCCCCGAAAGCUAUUUAGGUAGCGCCUCGUGAAUUCAUCUCCGGGGGUAGAGCACUGUUUCGGCAAGGGGGUCAUCCCGACUUACCAACCCGAUGCAAACUGCGAAUACCGGAGAAUGUUAUCACGGGAGACACACGGCGGGUGCUAACGUCCGUCGUGAAGAGGGAAACAACCCAGACCGCCAGCUAAGGUCCCAAAGUCAUGGUUAAGUGGGAAACGAUGUGGGAAGGCCCAGACAGCCAGGAUGUUGGCUUAGAAGCAGCCAUCAUUUAAAGAAAGCGUAAUAGCUCACUGGUCGAGUCGGCCUGCGCGGAAGAUGUAACGGGGCUAAACCAUGCACCGAAGCUGCGGCAGCGACGCUUAUGCGUUGUUGGGUAGGGGAGCGUUCUGUAAGCCUGCGAAGGUGUGCUGUGAGGCAUGCUGGAGGUAUCAGAAGUGCGAAUGCUGACAUAAGUAACGAUAAAGCGGGUGAAAAGCCCGCUCGCCGGAAGACCAAGGGUUCCUGUCCAACGUUAAUCGGGGCAGGGUGAGUCGACCCCUAAGGCGAGGCCGAAAGGCGUAGUCGAUGGGAAACAGGUUAAUAUUCCUGUACUUGGUGUUACUGCGAAGGGGGGACGGAGAAGGCUAUGUUGGCCGGGCGACGGUUGUCCCGGUUUAAGCGUGUAGGCUGGUUUUCCAGGCAAAUCCGGAAAAUCAAGGCUGAGGCGUGAUGACGAGGCACUACGGUGCUGAAGCAACAAAUGCCCUGCUUCCAGGAAAAGCCUCUAAGCAUCAGGUAACAUCAAAUCGUACCCCAAACCGACACAGGUGGUCAGGUAGAGAAUACCAAGGCGCUUGAGAGAACUCGGGUGAAGGAACUAGGCAAAAUGGUGCCGUAACUUCGGGAGAAGGCACGCUGAUACGUAGGUGAAGUCCCUCGCGGAUGGAGCUGAAAUCAGUCGAAGAUACCAGCUGGCUGCAACUGUUUAUUAAAAACACAGCACUGUGCAAACACGAAAGUGGACGUAUACGGUGUGACGCCUGCCCGGUGCCGGAAGGUUAAUUGAUGGGGUCAGCGCAAGCGAAGCUCUUGAUCGAAGCCCCGGUAAACGGCGGCCGUAACUAUAACGGUCCUAAGGUAGCGAAAUUCCUUGUCGGGUAAGUUCCGACCUGCACGAAUGGCGUAAUGAUGGCCAGGCUGUCUCCACCCGAGACUCAGUGAAAUUGAACUCGCUGUGAAGAUGCAGUGUACCCGCGGCAAGACGGAAAGACCCCGUGAACCUUUACUAUAGCUUGACACUGAACAUUGAGCCUUGAUGUGUAGGAUAGGUGGGAGGCUUUGAAGUGUGGACGCCAGUCUGCAUGGAGCCGACCUUGAAAUACCACCCUUUAAUGUUUGAUGUUCUAACGUUGACCCGUAAUCCGGGUUGCGGACAGUGUCUGGUGGGUAGUUUGACUGGGGCGGUCUCCUCCUAAAGAGUAACGGAGGAGCACGAAGGUUGGCUAAUCCUGGUCGGACAUCAGGAGGUUAGUGCAAUGGCAUAAGCCAGCUUGACUGCGAGCGUGACGGCGCGAGCAGGUGCGAAAGCAGGUCAUAGUGAUCCGGUGGUUCUGAAUGGAAGGGCCAUCGCUCAACGGAUAA
Molecule: ribosomal RNA, 1742 nt
Filed under: Escherichia fergusonii
Lineage: Bacteria; Pseudomonadati; Pseudomonadota; Gammaproteobacteria; Enterobacterales; Enterobacteriaceae
Description: 23S ribosomal RNA
Rfam family: Bacterial large subunit ribosomal RNA
Source: RNAcentral